UACGUAGGGUGCGAGCGUUGUCCGGAAUUACUGGGCGUAAAGCGUGCGUAGGCGGUUUGUUAAGUCUGUUGUGAAAUCCCCGGGCUCAACCUGGGAAUGGCAAUGGAUACUGGCAAGCUAGAGUGUGUCAGAGGAUGGUGGAAUUCCCGGUGUAGCGGUGAAAUGCGUAGAGAUCGGGAGGAACAUCAGUGGCGAAGGCGGCCAUCUGGGACAACACUGACGCUGAGGCACGAAAGCGUGGGGAGCAAACAGG
Molecule: ribosomal RNA, 253 nt
Filed under: uncultured bacterium
Lineage: Bacteria
Description: partial 16S ribosomal RNA
Rfam family: Bacterial small subunit ribosomal RNA
Source: RNAcentral